RNAcentral lists this ribosomal RNA (277 nucleotides) under uncultured eukaryote. RNAcentral's name for it is "partial 18S ribosomal RNA". It matches the Rfam family "Eukaryotic small subunit ribosomal RNA", at positions 21 to 289 of the family's 1831-position model. The record is from RNAcentral.
UAGUCAUAUGCUUGUCUCAAAGACUAAGCCAUGCAUGUCUAAGUAUAAACACUUUUAUACUGCGAAACUGCGAACGGCUCAUUAUAUCAGUUAUAAUCUACUUGAUCGUAUCCUCUUACUUGGAUAACCGUAGUAAUUCUAGAGCUAAUACAUGCAAAAGAUCCCGACUGGUGACGGAAGGGAUGUAUUUAUUAGAUCCAAAAUCAAUGCUGAUCAUUUUGAUCAGGAAAAUUGAUGAUUCAUAAUAACUAAACGAAGCGCAAGUCUUGUACUGGCG